GAUGAACGCUAGCUACAGGCUUAACACAUGCAAGUCGAGGGGCAGCAUGGUCUUAGCUUGCUAAGGCCGAUGGCGACCGGCGCACGGGUGAGUAACACGUAUCCAACCUGCCGUCUACUCUUGGACAGCCUUCUGAAAGGAAGAUUAAUACGAGAUGGCAUCAUGAGUCCGCAUGUUCACAUGAUUAAAGGUAUUCCGGUAGACGAUGGGGAUGCGUUCCAUUAGAUAGUAGGCGGGGUAACGGCCCACCUAGUCUUCGAUGGAUAGGGGUUCUGAGAGGAAGGUCCCCCACAUUGGAACUGAGACACGGUCCAAACUCCUACGGGAGGCAGCAGUGAGGAAUAUUGGUCAAUGGGCGAGAGCCUGAACCAGCCAAGUAGCGUGAAGGAUGACUGCCCUAUGGGUUGUAAACUUCUUUUAUAAAGGAAUAAAGUCGGGUAUGGAUACCCGUUUGCAUGUACUUUAUGAAUAAGGAUCGGCUAACUCCGUGCCAGCAGCCGCGGUAAUACGGAGGAUCCGAGCGUUAUCCGGAUUUAUUGGGUUUAAAGGGAGCGUAGAUGGAUGUUUAAGUCAGUUGUGAAAGUUUGCGGCUCAACCGUAAAAUUGCAGUUGAUACUGGAUAUCUUGAGUGCAGUUGAGGCAGGCGGAAUUCGUGGUGUAGCGGUGAAAUGCUUAGAUAUCACGAAGAACUCCGAUUGCGAAGGCAGCCUGCUAAGCUGCAACUGACAUUGAGGCUCGAAAGUGUGGGUAUCAAACAGGAUUAGAUACCCUGGUAGUCCACACGGUAAACGAUGAAUACUCGCUGUUUGCGAUAUACUGCAAGCGGCCAAGCGAAAGCGUUAAGUAUUCCACCUGGGGAGUACGCCGGCAACGGUGAAACUCAAAGGAAUUGACGGGGGCCCGCACAAGCGGAGGAACAUGUGGUUUAACUCGAUGAUACGCGAGGAACCUUACCCGGGCUUAAAUUGCAGAUGAAUUACGGUGAAAGCCGUAAGCCGCAAGGCAUCUGUGAAGGUGCUGCAUGGUUGUCGUCAGCUCGUGCCGUGAGGUGUCGGCUUAAGUGCCAUAACGAGCGCAACCCUUGUUGUCAGUUACUAACAGGUUCCGCUGAGGACUCUGACAAGACUGCCAUCGUAAGAUGUGAGGAAGGUGGGGAUGACGUCAAAUCAGCACGGCCCUUACGUCCGGGGCUACACACGUGUUACAAUGGGGGGUGCAGAGGGCCGCUACCACGCGAGUGGAUGCCAAUCCCCAAAACCUCUCUCAGUUCGGACUGGAGUCUGCAACCCGACUCCACGAAGCUGGAUUCGCUAGUAAUCGCGCAUCAGCCACGGCGCGGUGAAUACGUUCCCGGGCCU
Molecule: ribosomal RNA, 1358 nt
Filed under: uncultured bacterium
Lineage: Bacteria
Description: bacterial SSU rRNA
Rfam family: Bacterial small subunit ribosomal RNA
Source: RNAcentral